Molecule: RNA transcript, 7027 nt
Organism: Nycticebus coucang (slow loris)
Lineage: Eukaryota; Metazoa; Chordata; Mammalia; Primates; Lorisidae
Gene: KIF21B
Gene name: kinesin family member 21B
Exons: 36
Source: RefSeq, a predicted model, not a curated record
GGGAGGUGUGUGCGCGAGUGUGCAGCGCGGUGGAGAGCUGCGGGUCGCGCCGCCGGCUGUCAGCUAGCUCCGCGCCGCCGCCCGAUGGCGCGAGAAGGCGCGCGGGCCCAGUCCGCGGGGGCCGGCCGCGGGUGAGCCCCUCUGCCUGCCGCCCGCGAGCAUGUCACCUCUAGCUGCCGCGGCAGCCUCCGCCUGCAGUGCCAGUGCCCCCGCCUCCCGCGGCCUCAGCCGCUGCCUCAGGCAUUGGUCCCCGGACCCCCACCCCUGAUACAAGACCAGACCCCUAGCGCCAGAGGACCAUGGCUGGCCAGGGGGACUGCUGCGUCAAGGUGGCCGUCAGGAUCCGGCCUCAGCUAUCAAAGGAGAAGAUUGAGGGCUGUCACAUCUGCACCUCUGUUACCCCGGGAGAACCCCAGGUCCUGCUGGGGAAAGACAAGGCCUUCACCUAUGACUUUGUCUUUGACCUGGACACCUGGCAAGAACAGAUCUAUUCAACCUGUGUGAACAAGCUCAUCGAGGGCUGCUUUGAGGGCUACAAUGCCACAGUGCUGGCCUAUGGACAGACGGGGGCCGGGAAGACAUACACUAUGGGCACCGGCUUCGACAUGGCGACGUCGGAGGAGGAGCAGGGCAUCAUCCCAAGGGCCAUCGCACACCUCUUUGGGGGCAUCGCUGAGCGCAAGCGUAGGGCACAGGAGCAGGGCGUGGCUGGGCCUGAGUUCAAAGUCAGCGCUCAGUUCCUGGAGCUCUAUAAUGAAGAGAUCCUUGACCUGUUUGAUUGCACCCGUGACCCUGACACCCGCCACCGCAGGUCCAACAUCAAGAUCCAUGAGGAUGCAAAUGGUAGCAUCUACACCACAGGUGUUACUUCUCGCCUCAUUCACUCCCAGGAAGAGCUGAUUCAGUGCCUGAAGCAGGGGGCCCUGUCACGCACCACAGCCAGCACCCAGAUGAAUGUGCAGAGCUCCCGCUCCCACGCCAUCUUCACCAUCCACCUGUGCCAGAUGCGUGUGUGUGCCCAGCCAGACCUGGUGAGCGAGGUGACCGGCCUUCCUGAGGGCACAGCUCCUGCGACAGAGUAUGAGACACUCACUGCGAAGUUUCACUUUGUGGACCUGGCGGGUUCAGAGCGACUAAAGCGGACUGGGGCCACUGGCGAGCGGGCCAAGGAGGGCAUCUCCAUCAACUGCGGCCUGCUAGCCUUGGGCAAUGUGAUCAGCGCCUUGGGGGACCAGAGCAAGAAGGUGGUACACGUGCCCUACAGGGACUCCAAACUCACUCGGCUCCUCCAGGACUCGCUAGGGGGCAACAGCCAGACCAUCAUGAUCGCCUGUGUGAGCCCUUCAGACCGAGACUUCAUGGAGACCCUCAAUACACUCAAAUAUGCCAACCGGGCCCGCAACAUCAAGAACAAGGUGGUGGUGAACCAGGACAAGACCAGCCAGCAGAUAAGCGCACUACGGGCAGAGAUUGCUCGCCUACAGAUGGAGCUGAUGGAGUACAAGGCGGGCAAGCGGGUUAUUGGGGAGGACGGCUCUGAGGGCUACAGCGACCUGUUCCGGGAGAAUGCCAUGCUACAGAAGGAGAACAGCGCACUGCGGCUGCGGGUGAAGGCCAUGCAAGAGGCCAUCGAUGCCAUCAACAACCGCGUCACCCAGCUCAUGAGCCAAGAGGCCAACCUGCUCCUGGCCAAGGCCGGUGAUGGCAAUGAGGCCAUUGGUGCGCUAAUCCAGAACUACAUCCGAGAGAUUGAAGAGCUUCGGACGAAGCUCCUGGAGAGUGAGGCUAUGAACGAGUCGCUGCGCCGCAGCCUCUCGAGGGCCUCUGCUCGGAGUCCCUACUCCCUGGGUGCUGCUUCAGCUGCCCCGGCUUUGGGGGGCAGCCCGUCCAGCUCCAUGGAAGAUGCCUCCGAGGUGAUCCGCAGGGCCAAGCAGGACCUGGAGCGGCUGAAGAAGAAGGAGGUCAGGCAGCGGAGGAAAAGUCCAGAAAAGGAAGCCUUCAAAAAGAGGGCAAAACUCCAACAGGAAAACAGUGAGGAGACAGAUGAGAAUGAGGCAGAGGAGGAGGAGGAAGAGCAAGACGAGAGUGGCUGUGAGGAGGAGGAAGGACGUGAAGAUGAAGAUGAGGACACAGCCAGUGAGGAGAGCCUGGUGGACUCAGACUCAGAUCCCGAGGAGAAGGAGGUGAACUUCCAGGCGGACCUGGCAGACCUGACGUGCGAGAUCGAGAUCAAGCAGAAGCUGAUCGACGAGCUGGAGAACAGCCAGCGGAGGCUGCAGACCCUCAAGCACCAGUAUGAGGAGAAGCUGAUUCUGCUGCAGAACAAGAUCCGCGACACGCAGCUGGAACGUGACCGUGUGCUGCAGAACCUCAGCACCAUGGAAUGCUACACAGAGGAGAAGGCCAACAAGAUCAAGGCAGACUAUGAGAAGAGGUUGCGGGAGAUGAAUAGGGACCUGCAGAAGCUGCAGGCCGCACAGAAGGAGCACGCCCGGUUGCUUAAGAACCAGUCACGCUAUGAGAGGGAGCUGAAGAAGUUGCAGGCUGAGGUGGCAGAGAUGAAGAAGGCCAAGGUGGCCCUGAUGAAGCAAAUGCGUGAGGAGCAGCAGCGGCGGCGACUGGUGGAAACCAAGAGGAACCGGGAGAUCGCUCAGCUCAAGAAGGAGCAGCGGCGACAGGAGUUUCAGAUCCGAGCUCUGGAGUCCCAGAAGCGGCAGCAGGAAAUGGUCCUGAGGAGGAAGACCCAGGAGGUUUCUGCUCUGAGGCGCUUGGCCAAGCCCAUGUCUGAGCGGGUGGCGGGGCGUGUAGGAAUGAAGCCUCCCAUGCUGGACUCCGGGGCUGAGGUGUCAGCCAGCACCACCUCAUCUGAGGCUGAAUCUGGGGCCCGCUCCGUCUCCAGCAUUGUCCGCCAGUGGAACCGCAAAAUCAACCACUUUUUGGGCGACCACCCUGUACCCAGUGUUAAUGGCACCCGCCCAGCCCGAAAGAAGUUCCAGAAGAAGGGGGCCAGCCAGAGCUUCAGUAAGGCUGCAAGGCUCAAGUGGCAGUCCCUGGAACGGCGGAUCAUCGACAUUGUCAUGCAGAGGAUGACCAUCGUCAACUUAGAGGCUGACAUGGAGCGGCUCAUCAAGAAAAGGGAGGAGCUGUUCCUCCUCCAGGAGGCACUGCGGAGGAAGCGGGAGCGGCUGCAGGCUGAGAGUCCUGAGGAGGAGAAGGGGCUGCAGGAGCUGGCUGAGGAGAUCGAGGUGCUGGCGGCCAACAUCGACUACAUCAACGACAGCAUCACUGAUUGCCAGGCCACCAUUGUGCAGCUAGAGGAGACUAAGGAGGAGCUGGACUCAACAGAUACAUCGGUGGUCAUCAGCUCCUGCUCCCUGGCGGAGGCCCGCCUCCUGCUAGACAAUUUCCUCAAGGCAUCCAUUGACAAGGGGCUGCAGGUGGCACAGAAGGAGGCCCAGAUCCGGCUGCUGGAGGGCCGGCUGAGGCAGACAGACAUGGCCAGCUCCUCCCAGAACCAUCUGCUUCUGGAUGCCCUGCGUGAGAAGGCUGAGGCGCACCCUGAGCUACAGGCCCUCAUUUACAACGUGCAGCAGGAGAAUGGAUAUGCCAGCACUGACGAGGAGAUCUCAGAGUUCUCUGAGGGAAGCUUCUCCCAGUCGUUCACUAUGAAGGGUUCCACCAGCCACGAUGAUUUCAAGUUCAAGGGUGAGCCUAAGCUAUCUGCCCAAAUGAAAGCUGUGUCGGCAGAGUGCCUGGGUCCCCCGCUGGACGUCUCCACCAAGAACAUCACCAAGUCCCUGGCCUCCCUCGUUGAGAUCAAGGAGGAUGGAGUGGGUUUCUCUGUCCGAGACCCCUACUACCGGGAUAAGGUCUCACGCACCAUCAGCCUGCCCACCCGGGGCAGCACUUUCCCCCGACAGUCUCGAGGCACAGAGACGUCCCCUCUGACAAGAAGGAAGUCAUAUGACCGAGGGCAACCCAUCAUUAGCAGGUCCACAGAUGUGGGAUUCACACCCCCUUCGUCCCCUCCCACUCGGCCCCGCAAUGAUCGCAACGUCUUCUCUCGUCUCACCAGUAAUCAGAGUCAGGGGUCAGCGCUGGACAAGUCUGAUGACAGCGACUCCUCUUUGUCGGAGGUCCUGAGGGGCAUCAUCUCCCCAGUCGGAGGAGCCAAAGGUGCACGGACGGCCCCACUGCAGUGCGUCUCCAUGGCUGAGGGCCACACCAAGCCUAUCCUCUGCCUGGAUGCCACGGAUGAGUUGCUUUUCACGGGGUCCAAAGACCGCAGCUGCAAGAUGUGGAACUUGGUAACAGGGCAGGAGAUCGCAGCUCUGAAGGGCCACCCCAACAACGUGGUCUCCAUCAAGUACUGCAGCCACUCUGGGCUUGUGUUCUCCGUGUCCACAUCCUACAUCAAAGUGUGGGACAUCCGCGACUCAGCCAAGUGCAUUCGGACCCUCACGUCCUCAGGCCAGGUGAUCUCAGGUGAUGCCUGCACCGCCACAUCUACCCGUGCCAUCACCAGUGCUCAGGGGGAGCAUCAGAUCAACCAGAUUGCCCUCAGCCCCUCCGGCACCAUGCUGUAUGCUGCCUCCGGCAAUGCAGUUCGCAUCUGGGAGCUGAGCCGGUUCCAGCCCAUCGCCAAGCUGACUGGCCACAUUGGCCCUGUGAUGUGCCUGACAGUUACCCAAACUGCCAGCCGGCAUGACCUCGUGGUGACUGGCUCCAAGGACCACUAUGUCAAGAUGUUCAAGCUGGGUGACUAUGUGACAGGCACCAUUGGGCCCACUCACAACUUUGAGCCACCGCAUUACGAUGGCAUUGAGUGUCUCUCCAUCCAAGGAGACAUCCUGUUCAGUGGCUCCCGAGACAAUGGCAUCAAAAAGUGGGACCUGGACCAGCAGGAGCUCAUCCAGCAAAUUCCCAAUGCACACAAGGACUGGGUGUGCGCCCUGGCCUUUGUCCCAGGCCGCCCCAUGCUGCUGAGUGCCUGCCGUGCGGGUGUCAUCAAGGUCUGGAAUGUGGACAACUUUACACCCAUCGGUGAGAUCAAGGGCCACGACAGCCCCAUCAAUGCCAUCUGCACCAAUGCCAAGCACAUCUUCACAGCCUCCAGUGACUGCCGGGUAAAGUUGUGGAAUUACGUCCCUGGACUCACCCCCUGCCUUCCUCGCCGAGUCCUGGCCAUAAAGGGCCGCGCCACCACCAUGCCCUGAUGCCCGCUCCUCUCCCGUCUCCUCUCUCAUUCUUCCCUCUUUCCUUUCCCCUCUCUCUCCUCACUUCGAUCUGAGCUGCUUCUUGACGUGACCUGACGGUGAAGUUCUGGAGUGUACGGCGGUUACCCCACAGUGGCCCACCCUAGGAGUGAGGGCGGAGGCAUGCCCUCCGGACCCUCGACCCCGGCAGCUGGACAGCACAGAAGGGAAGCUAUGGCCUGGCCUGAUGGGGCACUGCCCUGGGGACAGGUGUGGGUUUGGCCCCUUCUCCUGUUCUCCCUGCCUUCCCCGGGAUGCUGUUUCCUCUGUCCCUCCCCUGACUCUUGGAGCUUCUUGGGAGAGCAAGGGUGGGGAGGAAAUUAAGCUGUGAAGCCAAAGGGCAUUAUCCCCUCUGUUCCUCUCUCCCUCACCCACCACUGGUCAUGUGUUCUCCUGCUGAGCUGGCCCUGCCCCUCCUCCUGGCCUUUGGCCCAGCAGUGGGGCUCUGUGGGGUAGGUGAGGCAGCUAGCCAGCCCCAUCAUGGUCAUGCUCCCGUCAUGCCCCUCAAACCCUGCCACAUGCCCCCAGGAGCUGGCCUCCCCCCACAUUCCCAGCCAGCAUCUGGAGCCAGUGCACCUGCCUCUGAGCCCAAAAAGCUAGUCCUCAGGUAACCAUGGAAACCAGGUGUAGACAGCUGGGCCUAGCAGCUGAGCCCUAACCCACCCUAUGGCCACAACUAGUGCCACUUGGCCCCAGCAAUUGCCUAGGGUUCCUUUCUGAUGGGGCCAAGGGGCAGCUGCUAGAAAGAUUCCUUUGGGGAGAUGGUCAGAAAUACUUCGGUUAUUUAUUGGUUUUUUUAUUUUUAUUUUUUGCUGUUGCCUCCUGGAAACUGACUUGAAGUUUCUUCCCACAUGUUUUUUCCCUCUGCUCUUGGGGACCCUGGAUUCCAAAGGGAGUCCACUGCCCCGGCCUCAGGGCCACCUCCUCCGUUUGCUUUGCAGAGGAGGGACAUGCCCCUUUGACUCCUUGCAGCUUGGGCCUGUCCUGACAUUACCCGCAGGGACCUUCUAGCGCACCCCUGGCCUUUAGGCCUCCUGAUGCUUCAGUGCCUUCCUCUACCCUGAGGCCUGGCACCGCGCUGGGCAGCCUCACACCAGCCAUGCCCAUGACACCACAUGUGUCUUCUCACUCGUGGGGUCCCGUGCCCAACGACCCCGGAAGGCGGGGGAGCUCACCCCCCCCCCCCCACAGCCCAGGGCCAGGGAGCCUGCUCCUCAGAUUCCUACGUGGGUCACGUAGGAAGCAGCUUGGUGGACUGUCCACUAGGAUAUGGCUUGGAUGGGGAGGACAGCCCAGCACCCUUACCCCUCACAGUCCACCCAUAUUUUUAUCCUAACUAGGACAGGGAGUCUCUCCACCAUCUUUUUCUCUGGUUUAUUCAGGAGAUACAUUUUCAGCCUUAAAACUGGCAUGGGGCACUGGCGCUCCCUUUUAGGAGGUUAUCACUGCAGAGGGAGUUCUCUGAGUUUCUCUUUUCCCUGGGGCUGUGAACCACAGCUCUGGGCAGGGUAUGUUAAGUCAGUGUUCGGGUGCCCCCUGUUGGGGAAACUCUGAAUUUGCAGGAAUGGGUCUUGGGUGGGGCCGGGCUCCACCCCCUGUCCCUCAGCCCCCUGUAAGCCUGUCCACAUGGUUUUCCAUUGGGAAGCAGGAACCCCAGCUCUGUUCAAAGGACACAGUGACUUUUGGACUUUCUGGAGGUGGCUCUGUUACUACCCUCGGCGUCUCUCCUUUGUCCAGGGCAGCCAGAGCCUGCUCUUAGGGGCCCCUAGUGU